Molecule: unclassified non-coding RNA, 341 nt
Filed under: Fulbrightiella oahuensis HA4248-MV3
Lineage: Bacteria; Bacillati; Cyanobacteriota; Cyanophyceae; Nostocales; Calotrichaceae
Description: 16S-23S ribosomal RNA intergenic spacer
Source: RNAcentral
UUAGGGAGACCUACCCAACUUGAAGUGAAGUAAAUAAUCAGAAGCAUCUUCGGAUGAAUUUGAUUCAACAAGUCACAUGAAGAUGGUCAUUCCUAGGUCGUUCGAGGAAAAAAAUUCAUAUCAUCUAUCAAGCUAUUAACGGUAUCGGAAAAAAACAACCGAAAUUAGCCGAGACCAAGUCCAGCACCUAGAUCCGCAAGCAGUUAAACUGCCAGUGGAAGAGAAUGCUGGGUGAAAAACUCAGUAAAGAACCAUGAAAACUGCAUAGAGAAGCGAAAAAAGGUAGUACGAAUCAGCUAAUAGACAGAUUGAGUGUCCAUUAGCGGAAUCAGAAACAGACA